ACAUAAUUGAAGCACUUUGAAUGAAAGGCCCUUGUCUUCCUCUUCCAUUAAUCGCUCCUAUCACUUCUCUUUCCUCCCUUUCCUCUCAUCUCUUUCUCUUCACAAACAACAUCGUUCAAGUCGUUCAAGAUCUUCAUGGACUUGUUCUCGGUUUUCUAUUCCUGUUUCCAUUCAUAGCUUCGUGCAUCUUUCAACAAAAAAAUAAAAAAUGGACUUGUUUUCGGUUUGCUACUCCUGUUUUCAUUCAUAGCUUCGUCCAUCUUUCAACAAAAAAUUAAAAAAAAAGUGGUUGUGCUUCUUAGUUUAUUUGGCGGUAUUUCCUUUUAAUAUUAUCUCUUCAGUCUUCAUCACAGUCAAAAUUUAUAAAAAAUUGAUUUGAAAAAGGGGAAAAAAGGUUAAAAAGGAGGUCUCUCUGUCGAACAACAUUGAAAUCCCUUUAAAAAAAAAAAGGUCCUGUGAUUUAGCGUUUCCCGUGUGAAACGUAAAUUUCUUCAUCAAUCAGCAUUAAAAUCCCUUAACAAAAAGAUUUCUUGGUGUUGUCUUCUCGUGUGAAAGAUUGUUUAUUUGUGUCUUCAAUACUUUGUUCUUCUUUAAAUUCGGAAAAAGGAAAGAAACUCAAGGAAAGCAAAAAAGAAACAGUGAGAUCGUCUAGAAAGAGAUAUUGUGUUCUUUUCUUCUGCUGUGAAGGAUAUUUUCAUUUCUUCAUCACUUGUUUUGCUCCAAAUUCGAAAAAGAUAAGAAAAGUUAAAAAAAAAAGGAAAAAGGAGGUAUCUUUGUCCACCAACAUUGAAAUCUCUUAAAAAAAGAUUUUGUGGUGUUGUCUUCUCAUGUGAAAGACUGGUUUAUUUUUCAUCUUCAAUACUUUGUUCUUCUUUAAGCUGGAAAAAGGGGGGAAAAAAACAGAAAGCGAAAAGAGAUUCUAUGUUCUUGUAUAAGUAACAUUGAAAUCUCUGCAGAACAAGAUGGAGGGCUGCCUUCUUGACCUUGCAAAGGAUCAAGUAACAAAUUUGGUGAAUCUAGUGAAAAAUGAAGUUCAAUAUUUAUGUUGUUUCAACAGUUAUGUUGAAAAUUUUGAUAAAGAAAGGGAAAGGCUAGUUGCAAAGCACAAGGAUAUCAAUAUGAAAAUUGGAAAAGUCAAAGGUGUUUCAAUAGUCACGAACGAAGUGCAACAGUGGGCAAAUGAAGCAAAUAGUCUCAUUGAAGAUAACACUAAAGCAAAGAAGAUGUGCUUUUUUGAUUUAUGUCCUAAUUGUUGGUGGCAAUAUCAAAGAGGCAAGGAAUUGGCACAAAAGUCUCUACAGAUUGAAGACCUUCUCGAAAGAUGCAAUAACGUGAGCAUAGUGGCAGGUCAAGCUGAUGUUUCAAGUAUAAAAUACAAUAUGCCACAAAUCUUCCUUGAUUUUGAGAGUAGAACAUCAAAGUUUCAAGAUCUAAUGAAGGCAUUAGAAGAUGAAAAUUGUAAUAUGGUUGGAUUACAAGGCUUAGGAGGAACAGGAAAAACAUCAAUGGCAUUAAAAGUCAGUGAAAAUCUUGAAGGAUCUCAUUUUGGCAAAGUUAUCUUUCUUGUUGUGUCUAAACCUUCUGAUUUCAAAAACAUUCAAUGUGAAAUUGUGAGACAAUUAGAUUUGAAAUCAAAGGAUGAAAAGGAGGAAGAACUCUUAAAGGGAAUAUAGUCUAAAAUCACUAGUAUGGAAGAAAAGCUACUUAUAAUACUAGAUGAUAUGUGGGAAGAGUUUGAUCUCAAGAAAAAGUUAGGGAUUCCAUCUGUCUCCCAGCAUAAGAAUUGCAGUGUACUGAUAACUACAUGCAACAUAAACGUUUGUCAAAAUAUGAGAUGCCAAAAGAUCAUUCAAUUAGAGAAGCUAAAUGAGGAGGAUGCAUUGAAUCUUUUCCAUCCAAAUGCUAGUAUGAGUAAUUCCAACAUUUCUAAGAAGUUAGUUCGAGAUAUUGUGAAGCAAUGUCGAGGAGUACCAGUUGCAAUUGUAGCAAUUGCAAGAAUGUUAAAAAAGUUGCCUGCUAACAAUUGGAAGGUUGCUUCGAUAACCUUAAAGACUUUUAAGUCAAUGCUUAAAACCGAUGAUGAAAAUUUAAAAGAUGUUGGUAAAUGCUUGAAGUUAAGCUAUGACCACUUGAAAAAAAAGGCCAAAGAACUCUUUUUGAUAUGUUCCAUGUUCCCAGAAGAUGAAGAAAUUCCUAUUCAAGUUUUAACUAAGAUUGGUAUAGGGUUAAGCUCUUUUGGAGAAAAUGACAAGUAUUAUUUAGAAAGAAUACUGGAAGUGCAUGUUGCUAUAGGGGAACUCAUAGGUUCUUCUUUGCUGUUGAGUGGUAAAAGAGAUCUUGUGAAGAUGCAUGAUUUAGUUCGUGAGGUGGCCUUGUGGAUAGGAGACAAUUCAAUCAAUCAUGGAUUCGAAAAAGUCUAUAAAAGAGAACUUGAGAUAUUUGCUUUGGAAGAAUGAUGAUUUUCCUAAUGAAUUUGAUGGAAAAAAAUUGGAGUUCCUAUUAAUCUUUCUAAGUGGUUCAGAGGACUUAGAGGUCUCAGAAACAUUCUUUAAUGAGAUGAGAACGCUCAAAGUUUUCAUUUUAGAUCGUUAUAGUUAUUACCCAAGAAUUCAAGUUCUAUCAUUGGCAAAUUCACUUCAAUCAUUAAAGGAUAUUCGAACACUCAUCUUAAAGAAUUUAGAGUUAAGAGACAUCUCUAUCUUAGGAAACUUGUUGAGUCUUGAGACUCUUUGGUUUUAUGAUUGUUCAAUCAUUAAAUUACCAAUAGAAUUUUUGAAAUUAAAGAAGUUGAGAUCAUUGGAGGUAGAAGAAUGUGAAAUUGAAGAGAAUAAUCCUUUUAAAGUGCUUGAAAAAUGCUCACAAUUAGAAGAGUUAACUUUUGUUGGUAAUGAAUGUGAUGCCAAAGAAGAAGAUGCAAUUUCUCAAAACAGAUCUCUUCUUACACUAGAUAAAUAUUGUAUAUCUUCUGAUAAUCUUUCAGAUUAUUUUGAAAAUCAUGGUUCCAUGUCAAGAUGCUUUCAAAUAGACAAACUAAGUCAUUUAGUCUCAUAUGCAACAUUUAAGAAACUUACGGAAAGAGCCGAACUUCUUAUCUUGGAAGGAGAGGGUGAACAAAGAAUAUGGAAGAAUCUUGUCCCGGAUCUUGUUGCAAUAGAUGAGGGAGGAACAUUGAAUGAUUUGAUUGUUUUUCAUUUGUGCUCAUAUCCUCACAUGGAGUGCCUUGUAAAUGCUAAGAAUCUGUCUAGAUUUUUUGAGAAAUUAGAGAUUGUAGAGUUGAAAGAUUGUGAGAGAUUGAAGAGCAUAUUUUCUAAUGGUAACUUCAACUUAUGUCGUCUCAAGUCCAUAAAAUUGGAAGACUGUCCAACGUUGACAUCAAUUUUUCAGCCAUCCACUACUCAAAGUCUUGAGGAACUAGAAGAAUUAACAAUUAAAGAUUGCAAUAAGCUGGAACACAUCAUAGAUGAUGAAGAUGGUGAUAGUAAUCAAAAGGGUUACAAUGACUUACCGUUGUUCCCAAAAUUCAAAAAUUUUCAAAUUAAAGGGUGCAACAAAUUAAGAGUAAUAUUGCCAAUCCUAUCUCCUGGAGACCUUCCAUCUCUAGAAAAGAUAUGUAUACGUGAGAGUGAGCAAUUGGAAUACAUAUUUGAUAAGUUCCAAGAGGGGGAAGAUCCUAUUCUCCCCUCACUGAAAGAGAUGGAACUUUGUGGAGUACCAAGACAAAGUAGAAUUUUUAGAGAAUAUGAGCAACUCAAGAGUUCAUCAAUGCAAAAGCUAUCAUCUCCACUUUCAAGGCAAAAGUCCAACAAGAUACAUCAAAAUCCUGCCACGUGUGCUCUCUCUUGGGCUCAUGCAUGCUAUUUUCUCAAUAAAUUGAGGCCUGCUAAUGAAGAGACCAAUCUUGCUGUUUCUAAACAUAGACCACUUGACCACACAAACCUAAUGGGAUUACUUGUAUCAAAGAAAUGGAUUGAAACUAUUGCUACCAUUGGGAGACAGCUACUCCAUGUUGGUCAUAUCAAGAAGAUGGAACUUGCAGAUUUCUCUUUAAAUUCAAAAUCAACACUGUUCACUUUAUCCAUGGCUUCAAUGAUAUUGUGCGAAGAAUUGACAAUUAGCUAAUGUGAUAGAUUGAAGCACUUGGUAACCAGUGAUGAAGAUGAUUAUAAAGAUCAAAAGAAGUGUAGUUCCAUUUUUCCAAACUUAAAGAAGCUAGAAAUCAGGGAGUGUAAUGACAUAGAAUUUUUAUUUCCAUCCAUAAUAUCAUUAGAAAUUAAAUAUUUAAGGUCUUGGACGAUCAGAGAUGCUCCCAAACUAACACAUGUUGUUGGAAAAUACCAUCAUGAGGAUCUUUCAGCGAAUCAAAAUCAACAAAAUAAGCUGCACUUUGAUCUCCCUGCUCUGGAGUUCCUUUACUUUGAAGGUGUACCAAAUAUGAUAAGCAUUUGUGUCAAGAAUUAUUAUUUCUUGGUACCACCAUCUCUUCAUACUGUUUCUUUGGACAAUUGUGGCAUUAUAUCUUUUAUUGAUUUGAUCCUUUGGUCGAGUGGAGAACGCUUGAAUUGGGAAAUCACAAAGGAGGAAACAAAUGCAUCCAGAGAUGGAGUCACCAACUUACAAGCAGUCCAAGGCCCAUUGACUCAAUCAUUGAAAAAUAUCAAGGAUAUGAAACUCCAAAACUGUUCAAGGCUUGUAUCAUUGUUCACUCUACCGAUUGCUUCAACGAUUUUGUUAGAAAAUUUGACAAUCCGAAGUUGUCAUCAACUAAAGUACAUUGUAGAAGAUGAAGACAAUGCUCAAGUUUCCACGAAUUGCUGCUCCAUUUUUCCAACUUUAAAGAAUCUAGAAAUUGAUGAUUGCAAAGGGUUGGGAUUUUUAUCUCCUUCCUCAUUAUCAUUAUCUGUGCAACUUAAGAGUCUCAAGUCUUUGACUGUCAAGGGUGCUUCUGAGCUAAAAUGUGCCAUUGGGAAAUACGAGCAUGAGGAUCAUUUAUCCAGUCAAAAUCAACAUCAUGAAAUGCACUUUGAUUUCCCAGCUUUAGAGUUCCUUUGCUUUCAAGAUGUCCCAAAUAUGGGACAAGAUUUAUCCACAAAUGCAGUUCAUCGAGCUUUUCAAGCUACUCAAAGCCUCACUACGCAGUUAUUGAUCAACAUCAAGAAGAUGAAACUCGUGAAUUGUGCCAACUUAAUAUCAUUGUUUUCUCUACAUGAUGCCUCAAUCCUUUUCUUGGAAGAACUGACAAUCGAAAGAUGUGAUCAACUAAAAUGCAUUGUAGCAUAUGACGGAGGCUCUACAGCUCAUAUGAAUCACAAAUCCAUCUUUCCAAAGUUGAAACGUCUAGAAAUUUUAUUUUGCAAUGCAAUGGAAUAUGUGUUGGGAAGUAGCUCUCAUGAUGACCAUUUAUCUCAUCAGAAUCAAAAUAUCAAAACUUGCGUUGAUUUUCCUGCUCUGGAAGAACUAUGGAUAUAUGAUGUGCCAAAACUUGUCAGCUUGUGUCCUGAAAACUUUUGUUUGAGAGGGUUAUCUCUGGAGGCCAUUUACUUGAAUUUUGAGUGGUCUUCUAUGUUUAGCAUCAUAUCUUUUAAUGAUUUUAUGGUUUGUGAUCAUGCAACACAAGACUCCACAACCACAAAGGCAACUAAAAUGCACUUGCAAGCUUUGAAAUGGCUUCAAAUAAAAAAUUUCAAAAUAGAAGAGAUUUUCAACUUAAAAAAUUUGGACGCAAAGAAAAAUGAGAAAAGACUUGAACCAUUAACAUCAAAUUUACGAAGAUUGGAGCUGAUAGAUCUAUGGGAGUUGAGGAAUAUAUGUUCGGGCCCCAAAUGCAUUCUCAGCCUCAACAAUCUCUCUCUGUUGGUAAUCAAAGGAUGCAAGAAGCUUGAAGUUGUCUUCUCUACCUCUACAUUGAGAAGCCUGCCGCAGUUGUUGUGGCUACAUAUAUCAGAAUGUGAAGAAUUAGUUGAGAUCAUUGAAGAGGAUAAUGAGGAAAGUGCUGGAGAUCAUUUGCCUCAUCAACCAUGCUUCCCAAUGUUAAAAUAUUUAAGUGUUGAGGGCUGUCACGAGCUGAAGUAUUUGUUCUCUGUCACAGUGUCUGGUAUCUUUCCACAACUAUGGCAGUUAGAUGUAAUAGAUGCCUCCUCCCUCGAGCAUGUGCUGAUUAGACCAGAUGCGUCGAAAGAAAUGGCCAAGAAGGAACUGCUUCCAAAGCUAAGAUGUGUAAAACUGGAAAGAAAUCCAAGCCUCAUGAACAUCUGCCAUGGGAUUGAUUUUCAAACAUUAAAAAAUCGCUCAAGAGUGGAUAACUGUCCGAAAUUUUCUUUUCAUGAAACCAUCGUUACUCAGCAUCAAGAUGGCCUAAAGGAUCUUGAUUCCAAUGUUGAGGCAAAAAUAGAGGAGAAGGUUUCUUCACAUCCAAUACAAAUCAGUCAGGCACGGGAGAUACCAAAGAGAGCCCAAGUUUGAAAAUCCAACAAUCCCAAAUUGGUUCACCAAACUUCACAAGGGAAAUUGUUGAAGAGGAUGUUAUUCCUGAGAUGCCAAAAUUGACAAAUUCACCAUCUGAUUCAAGAGCCAUUGAUGAAUUGGAUGAGUUGGUUAGCAAAGAAAUGCCAAAGGAAAAACUUAUGAUGGAUCCACAACAACCCAGAAAUGGU
This is an RNA transcript of Prosopis cineraria, 6650 nucleotides long. RefSeq lists it as uncharacterized. NCBI's taxonomy places the organism in Eukaryota, Viridiplantae, Streptophyta, Magnoliopsida, Fabales, Fabaceae. The transcript has 18 exons. The record is from RefSeq and is a predicted model, not a curated record.